This 465-nucleotide ribosomal RNA is filed under the name Vreelandella stevensii. RNAcentral's name for it is "partial 16S ribosomal RNA". It matches the Rfam family "Bacterial small subunit ribosomal RNA", at positions 338 to 795 of the family's 1533-position model. The record is from RNAcentral. Lineage: Bacteria; Pseudomonadati; Pseudomonadota; Gammaproteobacteria; Oceanospirillales; Halomonadaceae.
CCUACGGGUGGCUGCAGUGGGGAAUAUUGGACAAUGGGCGAAAGCCUGAUCCAGCCAUGCCGCGUGUGUGAAGAAGGCCUUCGGGUUGUAAAGCACUUUCAGUGGGGAAGAAAGCCUUGGGGCUAAUACCCUCGAGGAAGGACAUCACCCACAGAAGAAGCACCGGCUAACUCCGUGCCAGCAGCCGCGGUAAUACGGAGGGUGCGAGCGUUAAUCGGAAUUACUGGGCGUAAAGCGCGCGUAGGCGGUCUGAUAAGCCGGUUGUGAAAGCCCCGGGCUCAACCUGGGAACGGCAUCCGGAACUGUCAGGCUAGAGUGCAGGAGAGGAAGGUAGAAUUCCCGGUGUAGCGGUGAAAUGCGUAGAGAUCGGGAGGAAUACCAGUGGCCAAGGCGGCCUUCUGGACUGACACUGACGCUGAGGUGCGAAAGCGUGGGUAGCAAACAGGAUUAGAUACCCGAGUAGUC